RNAcentral lists this ribosomal RNA (274 nucleotides) under uncultured bacterium. RNAcentral's name for it is "partial 16S ribosomal RNA". It matches the Rfam family "Bacterial small subunit ribosomal RNA", at positions 523 to 796 of the family's 1533-position model. The record is from RNAcentral.
AUACGGAGGGCGCAAGCGUUGUUCGGAUUUACUGGGCGUAAAGAGCAUGUAGGCGGUUAGAUUAGUCAGUUGUGAAAUCCUAUGGCUUAACCAUAGAAUUGCAUCUGAUACUGUCUAGCUAGAGUGCAGAAGAGGAGAGUGGAAUUUCCAGUGUAGCGGUGAAAUGCGUAGAUAUUGGAAGGAACACCGGUGGCGAAGGCGGCUCUCUGGUCUGUAACUGACGCUGAGAUGCGAAAGCGUGGGUAGCAAACAGGAUUAGAUACCCCGGUAGUCC